GCCUGCCUGGCUCAGUGGUAGAGCAUGUGACUCUUGAUUUCAGAGUCAUGAGUUUGAGCCCCAUGUUAGGUG
Molecule: transfer RNA, 72 nt
Filed under: Felis catus (domestic cat)
Lineage: Eukaryota; Metazoa; Chordata; Mammalia; Carnivora; Felidae
Also listed under: 6 other names
Rfam family: tRNA
About the family: Transfer RNA (tRNA) molecules are approximately 80 nucleotides in length. Their secondary structure includes four short double-helical elements and three loops (D, anti-codon, and T loops).
Source: Rfam by way of RNAcentral